This 110-nucleotide ribosomal RNA is filed under the name Acanthosepion pharaonis. The record is from RNAcentral. Lineage: Eukaryota; Metazoa; Mollusca; Cephalopoda; Sepiida; Sepiidae.
CGGUUAAAUCACGCUGAAACACCGGUUCUCGUUCGAUCACCGAAGUUAAGCAUUGUGAGAGCCAGGUCAGUACUUAGAUCUCAAACCGCUUGGGAACACCUGGUACUGUA